AAUACAAUUUAGUUCUCUCCCAGCGAAGGUUCCGUGGAUGGUGAUAAUUAUUUUCAAUGAAUUUUCAGAAUUCUGUAUUAUUGCGUCGUACAUAUGUGCGCGGAUUUUCGGCACGUUUCCAGAGAAUUGGUCUAGGCUCUGGGUCUUCAAGGCCGCCUCCGACUGGUGCCAGAAUAGAGCUUUCGAACAGUAAUGGUCAUAGUGUAUCAUCUGAUUGGCUCUACAGUGGAAAAAACAUUCGCUGUACUAAUUUCCCAUAAGAAGUAGAAAAUGUUCAAUAGAAGUGUGCACCUGCCACCAGCGUA
Molecule: long non-coding RNA, 305 nt
Organism: Drosophila pseudoobscura
Lineage: Eukaryota; Metazoa; Arthropoda; Insecta; Diptera; Drosophilidae
Exons: 2
Source: RefSeq, a predicted model, not a curated record